AAUGAACGCUGGCGGCAUGCCUAACACAUGCAAGUCGAACGAGACCUCCGGGACUAGUUGCGCACGGGUGCGUAACGCGUGGGAAGGGGCCCGUAGGUUCGGAAUAACUCCUCGAAAGGGGUGCUAAUAUCGGAUAAUGUCUGCUGACCAAAGAUAUGUCGUCUUUGGAGGGGCCCGCGUUGUAUUAGCUAGUUGGUAGGGUAAAAGCCUACCAAGGAGAGGAUCGAUAGCGGGGAUGAGAGGAUGGUUCGCCACACUGGGAGUGGGACACGGCCCAGAAUCCUAGGCGAUGCAGGAAUGGGUGAUACUGCAAUACGGCGUGAGUGCAGAACCAGCAAGGCCGGGAAAGUCAUGAAGGCCGGAAGGAUGUAAAGCACUUUAACCCGCCAUGGUAAUGACGGUACCGGGAGAAUAAGCACCGGCUAACUUCGUG
This 433-nucleotide ribosomal RNA is filed under the name uncultured bacterium. RNAcentral's name for it is "partial 16S ribosomal RNA". It matches the Rfam family "Bacterial small subunit ribosomal RNA", at positions 29 to 507 of the family's 1533-position model. The record is from RNAcentral.